UACUGUUGCAAUUUAGGGAUGCGGCUCUUAACAGUGCAGUCGGUAGAAAAGCUAUCCUGUCUCGAUGGCGUCUUUAGCGAUGAUGGAACUGGUUACUGGACCUCGGGGACAAAUGGAGGCUGUUCGAACCAACGAUUCCGUUGGUGCUCUCCAGAAAUUAAAGACUUCAUUAAACCCAGUUUGAACCUCGAUCCAACUAUACUUAAUUUCAAUCCAGCAAUGCAAGUAUCUCAGCUACCUGCUUUCCUGACCACAAGAUUAUGUGUGGCUGCCAAAAAAUCACCCACUUUGGGACCAAUUUUGGGGCCUUUCAUGUGCAUCAUGUCCAAUAAAGUCAUUUGUGAAGUGCUUAAUAAAUAAAUUGUAUUUUUGCAAUAAUUCAAUUGAUGUAAAAAGGGCCGCGUGCAGGCCGAGUCUCAUCUUCAAGAAGUUUUCAAUGAAUGCAAAGCAACACACCG
Molecule: long non-coding RNA, 458 nt
Organism: Cloeon dipterum
Lineage: Eukaryota; Metazoa; Arthropoda; Insecta; Ephemeroptera; Baetidae
Exons: 3
Source: RefSeq, a predicted model, not a curated record